Molecule: ribosomal RNA, 497 nt
Filed under: uncultured bacterium
Lineage: Bacteria
Description: partial 16S ribosomal RNA
Rfam family: Bacterial small subunit ribosomal RNA
Source: RNAcentral
GAUGAACGCUGGCGGCGUGCCUAAUACAUGCAAGUCGAGCGAACAGACGAGGAGCUUGCUCCUCUGACGUUAGCGGCGGACGGGUGAGUAACACGUGGAUAACCUACCUAUAAGACUGGGAUAACUUCGGGAAACCGGAGCUAAUACCGGAUAAUAUAUUGAACCGCAUGGUUCAAUAGUGAAAGACGGUUUUGCUGUCACUUAUAGAUGGAUCCGCGCCGCAUUAGCUAGUUGGUAAGGUAACGGCUUACCAAGGCAACGAUGCGUAGCCGACCUGAGAGGGUGAUGGGCCACACGGGAACUGAGACACGGUCCAGACUCCGACGGGAGGAAGCAGUGGGGAAUAGUGGACAAUGGGCGAAAGCCUGAGGGAGCAACGCCGCGUGUGGGAAGAAGGUCUUCGGAUCGUAAAGCUCUUUUAUGAGGGAAGAAAAAAUGUAAAAUAAAAUAUGCCCGUUUGGACGGUACCUAAAAAAAAAGCCACGGCUAACUACGUG